UUGGAGGGCAAGUCUGGUGCCAGCAGCCGCGGUAAUUCCAGCUCCAAUAGCGUAUAUUAAAGUUGUUGCAGUUAAAAAGCUCGUAGUUGAAUUUCGGGAUUAGUACGCUGGUCGUGCCUUCGGUACGUACUGGUGUUACUGAUUUCUACCUUCUGACGAACCAUCAUGUCAUUAAUUUGGUGUGGUGGGGAAUCAGGACUGUUACUUUGAAAAAAUUAGAGUGUUUAAAGCAGGCUCGCGCUUGAAUACAUUAGCAUGGAAUAAUGAAAUAGGACGUUGAUCCUAUUUUGUUGGUUUUUAGGAUUGACGUAAUGAUUAAUAGGGAUAGUUGGGGGCAUUAGUAUUCAAUUGUCAGAGGUGAAAUUCUUGGAUUUAUUGAAGACUAACUACUGCGAAAGCAUUUGCCAAGGAUGUUUUCAUUAAUCAAGAACGAAAGUUAGGGGAUCGAAGACGAUCAGAUACCGUCGUAGUCUUAACCAUAAACUAUGCCGACUAGGGAUCGGAUGAUGUUAUUUUUAAUGACUCAUUCGGCGCCUUACGGAAAC
This 545-nucleotide ribosomal RNA is filed under the name uncultured Glomeromycotina. RNAcentral describes it as "SSU rRNA". It matches the Rfam family "Eukaryotic small subunit ribosomal RNA", at positions 548 to 1098 of the family's 1831-position model. The record is from RNAcentral. Lineage: Eukaryota; Fungi; Glomeromycota.